UGGGGAAUAUUGCACAAUGGGGGAAACCCUGAUGCAGCGACGCCGCGUGAACGAAGAAGGUAUUCGUAUCGUAAAGUUCUGUCCUAUGGGAAGAUAAUGACAGUAUCAUAGAAGAAAGCUCCGGCUAAAUACGUGCCAGCAGCCGCGGUAAUACGUAUGGAGCGAGCGUUGUCCGGAAUUAUUGGGCGUAAAGGGUACGCAGGCGGUUUAAUAAGUCGAAUGUUAAAGAUCGGGGCUCAACCCCGUAAAGCAUUGGAAACUGAUAAACUUGAGUAGUGGAGAGGAAAGUGGAAUUCCUAGUGUAGUGGUGAAAUACGUAGAUAUUAGGAGGAAUACCAGUAGCGAAGGCGACUUUCUGGACACAAACUGACGCUGAGGUACGAAAGCGUGGGGAGCAAACAGG
RNAcentral lists this ribosomal RNA (403 nucleotides) under bacterium. Its description in RNAcentral is "partial 16S ribosomal RNA". It matches the Rfam family "Bacterial small subunit ribosomal RNA", at positions 355 to 776 of the family's 1533-position model. The record is from RNAcentral.